Molecule: non-coding RNA, 1239 nt
Organism: Vigna umbellata (rice bean)
Lineage: Eukaryota; Viridiplantae; Streptophyta; Magnoliopsida; Fabales; Fabaceae
Source: RefSeq, a predicted model, not a curated record
AAAUCCAAAAAUUGGUCCCAACUCGGUAGGCACUUUAUUUUGUUCACUCAGAGCGUGUCCUUUCCCGUUCCCGCCCAGUUCCAUUUCGCUCUAACUCCACCAUGGGAAAUUCGUCCAAGGACGAUUCCGCCACCUCUGCCGACGCUUCCGCUGGCGACGUUCAGCCGUCCAAUUCCGGCGUCUACUCAGAGGGCGAGAAAGUGCUCGCCUAUCAUGGUCCUCGCAUCUACGAAGCCAAGGUGCAAAAAACUGAGAUCAGAAAGAGUGAAUGGAAAUACUUUGUUCACUACCUUGGCUGGAGUAAAAAUUGGGAUGAAUGGGUAGGUGAGGACCGAUUAAUGAAACAUACAGAAGAGAAUGUAAUGAAACAGUUGGCCCUAGACAAAAAGCAAAAUGUGGACAAGAAUGUUAAGUCUGGGCGUUCAACACAAGCAAAGGGCAAACCGUCUACAGAUGUCAAAGUGGAUAAAGAGGAUGUCAAGAACAAUGUGUCUAAAGGGAAGAAACGAAAGCAAGAUGCUGGAGCUGAGAAGGGCAGCGGGUCUGUUGAAAAGCUUGUCAAGAUUCAAAUUCCUGCAACAUUGAAGAAACAACUUGUUGAUGAUUGGGACUCUGUGACUCAGCAGGAUAAGCUUGUAAAACUUCCUCGUUCACCAACUGUUGAUGAAAUUCUGACAAAGUACCUUGAAUACAAAUCAAAGAAGGAUGGCAUGGCUCCCGAUUCAAUAGGAGAAAUUUUGAAAGGAAUAAGGUGUUAUUUUGAUAAAGCAUUGCCUAUGAUGCUCUUGUACAAAAAAGAACGCAAGCAAUAUAAUGAUGCUAUUGUGGAUAAUGUAUCUCCCUCAACCAUUUAUGGAGCUGAGCAUUUAUUGCGCCUGUUUGUUAAGUUACCUGAGCUUUUGACUUAUGUAACUAUUGAGGAGGAAACAUUGAAUCGCUUGCAACAGAAAUUACUCGACUUUCUCAAGUUUUUGCAGAAAAAUCAAAGUACUUUCUUUCUCUCAGCGUACGAGGGCACCAAAGUCUCUGAAGGAAAAGGAAAGGUGAAUGAUGAAUGAGAAGAAACGUUGAGUCCGUGGUCAUCAUGUUGUAUUCUUAAUUCUUAUAAACAAUAUCAUAUUUCCCUUGAAAAAUUUAGGGAAGAAACUCAAUUGUUGUUGUCUGGGAGGAGGGAUGAGCCGAGAAGGAUCUCAUGCAUGCAUGUAUCUGGCCUGGAAGUUGGUUGGGCUAUCCCCCUGU